Molecule: ribosomal RNA, 254 nt
Filed under: uncultured bacterium
Lineage: Bacteria
Description: partial 16S ribosomal RNA
Rfam family: Bacterial small subunit ribosomal RNA
Source: RNAcentral
UACAGAGGUCCCGAGCGUUGUUCGGAUUCAUUGGGCGUAAAGGGUGCGUAGGCGGUUUUCUAAGUUUGAUGUGAAAUCCCGGGGCUCAACCCUGGAAUUGCAUUGAAUACUGGGAGACUAGAGUACUGGAGAGGAAACUGGAAUUUACGGUGUAGCAGUGAAAUGCGUAGAGAUCCGGAGGAACACCAAAGGCGAAGGCAGUGUCCUGGGGAGUACCUGGACGCUCAGGUGCGAAAGCCAGGGGAGCGAACGGG